Molecule: ribosomal RNA, 466 nt
Filed under: Vreelandella stevensii
Lineage: Bacteria; Pseudomonadati; Pseudomonadota; Gammaproteobacteria; Oceanospirillales; Halomonadaceae
Description: partial 16S ribosomal RNA
Rfam family: Bacterial small subunit ribosomal RNA
Source: RNAcentral
CCUACGGGUGCGCUGCAGUGGGGAAUAUUGGACAAUGGGCGAAAGCCUGAUCCAGCCAUGCCGCGUGUGUGAAGAAGGCCUUCGGGUUGUAAAGCACUUUCAGUGGGGAAGAAAGCCUUGGGGCUAAUACCCUCGAGGAAGGACAUCACCCACAGAAGAAGCACCGGCUAACUCCGUGCCAGCAGCCGCGGUAAUACGGAGGGUGCGAGCGUUAAUCGGAAUUACUGGGCGUAAAGCGCGCGUAGGCGGUCUGAUAAGCCGGUUGUGAAAGCCCCGGGCUCAACCUGGGAACGGCAUCCGGAAAUGUCCGGCUAGAGUGCAGGAGAGGAAGGUAGAAUUCCCGGUGUAGCGGUGAAAUGCGUAGAGAUCGGGAGGAAUACCAGUGGCGAAGGCGGCCUUCUGGACUGACACUGACGCUGAGGUGCGAAAGCGUGGGUAGCAAACAGGAUUAGAUACCCGUGUAGUC